CGACAGUGUCGUUGGCGUCGCCGGUCACUUUCGCCUGAUGAAAAGUUGAUUAAGGCAUUCUUGCAAGCCAUUAUGAACGACGUUGCAACUCUGCCGCCCCUUGCCGCCUUCAUGGGAUCUGGUGUGCAAAGACAGACAACCAUAUCAACCUUCCGCUGAAACGUACGGCCCAGCACCACCACCACCAUAACCAACAACAAACAAAAAAGCGCCCAAGAAGAAGAGUUAGGCCCAAUUUACUUACGCAUCUUCCCUGCACACCAAUCAACACCAGAAGUACUCUGCACCCACAGCAAAAUCACCGUCGUUAACGCUGCCAGCAGAGCUGCCAUGCUGUUUCAAGUACUUGCCUUACAGCGGUUCACAGCAGAGUACAGCAAUUCUGUACGCACUGAAUAGGGGUUUGAGUUCGAGAAGCGCCGGCACAACGAUGCUCACGUGAGAGUUGA
Molecule: long non-coding RNA, 449 nt
Organism: Ornithodoros turicata
Lineage: Eukaryota; Metazoa; Arthropoda; Arachnida; Ixodida; Argasidae
Exons: 3
Source: RefSeq, a predicted model, not a curated record